This 450-nucleotide ribosomal RNA is filed under the name uncultured bacterium. Its description in RNAcentral is "partial 16S ribosomal RNA". It matches the Rfam family "Bacterial small subunit ribosomal RNA", at positions 354 to 796 of the family's 1533-position model. The record is from RNAcentral.
GUGGGGAAUAUUGGACAAUGGGCGCAAGCCUGAUCCAGCAAUGCCGCGUGGGUGAAGAAGGCCUUCGGGUUGUAAAGCCCUUUUGUACGGAAAGAAAUCCUGGUGGUUAAUACCCGCCGGGGAUGACGGUACCGUAAGAAUAAGCACCGGCUAACUUCGUGCCAGCAGCCGCGGUAAUACGAAGGGUGCAAGCGUUAAUCGGAAUUACUGGGCGUAAAGCGUUCGUAGGUGGUUUCUUAAGUCUGUCGUGAAAGCCCUGGGCUCAACCUGGGAAUGGCGAUGGAUACUGGGAGGCAAGAGUGCGGUAGAGGAUGGCGGAAUUCCCGGUGUAGCGGUGAAAUGCGUAGAGAUCGGGAGGAACAUCUGUGGCGAAGGCGGCCAUCUGGACCAGCACUGACACUGAGGCACGAAAGCGUGGGGAGCAAACAGGAUUAGAUACCCUAGUAGUCC